UACGUAGGGUGCAAGCGUUAAUCGGAAUUACUGGGCGUAAAGCGUGCGCAGGCGGCUUUGCAAGACAGAUGUGAAAUCCCCGGGCUUAACCUGGGAACUGCAUUUGUGACUGCAUGGCUAGAGUGCGGCAGAGGGGGAUGGAAUUCCGCGUGUAGCAGUGAAAUGCGUAGAUAUGCGGAGGAACACCGAUGGCGAAGGCAAUCCCCUGGGCCUGCACUGACGCUCAUGCACGAAAGCGUGGGUAGCAAACAGG
This 253-nucleotide ribosomal RNA is filed under the name uncultured bacterium. RNAcentral's name for it is "partial 16S ribosomal RNA". It matches the Rfam family "Bacterial small subunit ribosomal RNA", at positions 524 to 776 of the family's 1533-position model. The record is from RNAcentral.